GUCACAGGUGCUAGACCCUGGAGUUGAACCAGUACCACUCGGUUACAAAGUCAUGGUCUAGUAGUUGUGAC
Molecule: microRNA precursor, 71 nt
Filed under: human gammaherpesvirus 4 (Epstein-Barr virus)
Lineage: Duplodnaviria; Heunggongvirae; Peploviricota; Herviviricetes; Herpesvirales; Orthoherpesviridae
Description: Human gammaherpesvirus 4 (Epstein-Barr virus) microRNA ebv-mir-BART22 precursor
Gene: ebv-mir-BART22
Source: miRBase by way of RNAcentral